GUGCUCACUUUGGCACACAGAUACUAAAACUGGAAAGGUACAGAGAAGAUUAGCAUGGUCCCUGUGCAAGGAUGACUCAAAUUUGGGAAGCAUUUCAUAUUUUU
Molecule: small nuclear RNA, 104 nt
Organism: Myodes glareolus (Bank vole)
Lineage: Eukaryota; Metazoa; Chordata; Mammalia; Rodentia; Cricetidae
Source: RefSeq, a predicted model, not a curated record